GAUCCUUUGUCUCAGUGCUGAUUUUUCUUUGUGGCACUGAGCAUCUAUUUCCAACAGGUACCAAGCAGUCAGCUCUUUCCUUGGAUUGUGCUGAAAGUGGGAGAGGAAAAAAAAAAUCAACCCAAUGUUCUCAUUUCUCUAUCUACAUGAUCAUUAGAGACCAAAUCCCUUCCUGCUUGGCCCCUGGAAAUGGGGGCCAGGUGUCGCUGCUGGGAGACGCCAAUACGGCUGUACGUCAUGGUGUGAGCACUUGUCUUUAAUGACUGAGAAAUUCCAUUUCCCUCCUUGGCAGCUUUGAAUGUGGCAACUGUGGCUCUGGGACACUGCCAGAGCCAGCCCUGUAUGUAUGUGUGUCAUCUUCUUUAAAGUGGGAGAGAGAAUGUCUCAAUAUUCAGUGCUCACCCUUCCUUCCAAGUUGUUGCCCCAAAGAAGUGUCCAAUGCAAACUUAGGACUUUUCCACUCUGGAAGCAGUCUGCCGGCACCCUCAAGUCCUCCCCUCCUCAAAUGCAUCCUUUCUCUCUUGAUCCCGUUGUUCUGGGGUCCUCAGCUGAGUGGGCAUCUGUGCCUGAGUGAUACAACCGAUUCUAGCCUCUUUUCUGCAACUCUUGAGCUCUGAGACAGGUAAAAAGAAAAUCUUAAAAUAAUAAUGUUCUGCCUCACACUAGUAAAUAUUUUUCACUUAAAAAUUCUAUGUCAUUUUGAUUUGUUCAGGUAGACAAGAACAUCUUUUGUUUGAGGAAAAACUGAAGAGAUUUCUUAGGAUUCAGCUCCAAUGGCUCUGCCUGUGUCUCUUUAUCAUUGGAGCUUUGUUUUCCACCUUUGCAAGACUAGGGUGGAGGGAAGGCUUUGUGGUCUAUUGUUAGGUGCUCUUUGAAUCUACAAAUCACAGUCUACAGGAAGGGAGUGGGGCUUCCAGAGACCAUCUAGAGCAACCCUCUGUCUCUAGCAUGGACACACAACGCACACACAGUGACUGCCUGUUGUGUGUUUCUAGAACCCAGUGGGGACAGGGAGACAAUUUCUUUUGGUGUGUAGGUCUCACGUUGCUUGAUUCCGACCGUUGUGUUCUCGUGCCUGCCCUAAAUAUCUCUUGCUGCAGCUCCGGCAUGUUCCCUAAUCAGCUACUGCACCAUCCUGGCCCAUGCUCUUAGAGACAUGGUUAUCUCUGUGAUACGAGUAUCUGUUCUGGCCUAGGCAAGUCACACCCCUUUCUGAGUCUCAUAUAAAAUGUGGCUUUGAGAGUAGAUGAUGUGUCUGGUCUUAAAAUUCUCUUUGACUCUGGAGCUCUGGAUCUGAGCUUCUGUUUGAUGUUGUUUCUCUUGCUGGGCAACCUUCUCACUGACUCUCUGCUGUAAAGCCUCCCUUUUUUUAAAAAUCAAAACCUAACUUGGUCCUACCUACCCCAUGGCUGACCAUCCAAGCACUUUCUUUUGACUUUAGGGUAGCACCAUACAAUUUCUUCUUUUUGUUUUUCAUUUUAACAACCUGUAUUUUUCACAUCACGAAACAUUUCUAGAUAUUCAUCGUAGAUAAUUCAGAAAAUAUAGGUUAAUGAAAAGAAAAAAUGGAAAUCACUAAACUUCUCACUCUCAGACAUAACCACUGUUAACAAUUUGGUGUAUUUUCUUUCAGUCUUUUUUUUAAACACUCAUAUAUAGACUAGCAGAUUUCAUACUAUAUAAUUUUGUGUUCUGCUUUUCCACCUAAUAAUAUAUAAUGAGCAUUUUUGCCUAUCAUGAAACAUUUGUAAACAUAAUUUUUAAUACCUGCUUACUACUUUACAUCACCUACUUUAUUUAGCCCUUGCGUAAUUAUUUCCAAAUAGGAAAAAUACCUAUCCUGUCUGAACUCACUGAACUGGCCUAAUCAAAUGAGAUAAAAUAUGCAAAGAGCUACACAGAUGUAAGUGGUGAUUGUUCCUUAUGUUAGUUUUAUUUCCCCAAGUGAACUACUUUACUGUAUUGUCACAAAAUGGUGAUACAAUUUCCUGUUCACUAAGUUUUGCACAGUGGUGGGCAAAACAUGCUGUCUGGCUGUAAUUUCUUAAAACGGCAUGUAAAUAUUAAUAACUUUAGAAGUUUUUUCUUAGCAGUUUCUUAGAAACUCUGGUCCAAGGAAAUUAUUCAAAAUGUUUUGUGCACAGAGAUGUUCACUAUGGCAUUAUUUACAAUACCCCCAAACUAGAAAUCACCAAAAUGUCUAAUUAUAUGAGAAGGAGGUGAAGUAAAUGUUGCUGAACCUACUUUCUAGGCUAUUAGAUAGCUAUUAAAAAUGAUGUUUACAAGGCCUUUGUAAUAAAAUCAGAAACUUUUUUUGUCAUAAUUAUGGGAAGAAAUGAAGGUACAGUAUGAGAGGUGGAGAGAAAGACACCGAAAUGGGAAUGGUGGUUGGAGUUAAAGAAUGGGUAAUUGUUUUCCUUCUCUUUGUCUGCUUUUCUUCAGUGAGCUUGUGUGCCUUUGAUACAUUAAACGGUAGAGAGACAGAGAGAGACAAGAUGAGAGGGAGAGACGAGAUGAGAGAGAGAGAAGUGAACCUUGUUUUAAAAAUUACCUGGUGGAAGAACUUCCGGCAGCGGCAGCUCCAGUGGCCAAGGCAAGAUGGGUCAAAGUCAGAGUGGUGGUCAUGGUCCUGGAGGUGGCAAGAAGGAUGACAAGGACAAGAAAAAGAAAUAUGAACCUCCUGUACCAACUAGAGUGGGGAAAAAGAAGAAGAAAACAAAGGGAUCAGAUGCCACCAGCAAAUUGCCACUGGUGACACCUCACACUCAGUGCCGGUUAAAAUUACUGAAAUUAGAGAGAACUAAAGGCUACCUUCUCAUGGAGGAAGAAUUCAUUAGAAAUCAGGAACAAAUGCAACCAUUAGAAGAAAAGCAAGAGGAGGAAAGAUCAAAAGUGGAUGAUCUGAGGGGCACCCCGAUGUCAGUAGGAACCUUGGAAGAGAUCAUCGAUGACAAUCAUGCCAUCGUGUCUACAUCUGUGGGCUCAGAACACUACGUCAGCAUUCUGUCAUUUGUAGACAAGGAUCUGCUGGAACCUGGCUGCUCAGUCCUGCUCAACCACAAGGUGCAUGCCGUGAUAGGGGUGCUGAUGGAUGACACGGAUCCCCUGGUCACAUUGAUGAGGUGGAAAAGGCCCCCCAGGAGACCUAUGCCGAUAUUGGGGGCCUGGACAACCUAAUUCAGGAAAUUAAGGAAUCUGUGGAGCUUCCUCUCACCCACCCUGAAUAUUAUGAAUAUAGAGACGGGUAUAAAACCUCCUAAGGGGGUCAUUCUCUAUGGUCCACCUGGCACAGGCAAAACCUUAUUAGCCAAAGCAGUAGCAAACCAAACCUCAGCCACUUUCUUGAGAGUGGUUGGCUCUGAACUUAUUCAGAAGUACCUAGGUGAUGGGCCCAAACUCGUGCGGGAACUGUUUCGAGUUCCUGAAGAACAUGCACCGUCCAUCGUGUUUAUUGAUGAAAUUGACGCCAUUGGGACAAAAAGAUACGACUCAAAUUCUGGUGGUGAGAGAGAAAUUCAGCGAGCAAUGUUGGAACUGUUGAACCAACUGGAUGGAUUUGAUUCUAGGGGAGAUGUGAAAGUUAUCAUGGCCACAAACCGAAUAGAAACUUUGGAUCCAGCACUUAUCAGACCAGGCCGCAUUGACAGGAAGAUCGAGUUCCCCCUGCCUGAUGAAAAGACUAAGAAGCGCAUCUUUCAGAUUCACAUAAGCAGGAUGACGCUAGCCGAUGAUGUAACCCUGGGUGACUUGAUCAUGGCUAAAGAUGACCUCUCUAGUGCUGACAUCAGGGCAAUCUGUACAGAAGCUGGUCUGAUGGCCUUAAGAGAACGUAGAAUGAAAGUAACAAAUGAAGACUUCAAAAAAUCUAAAGAAAAUGUUCUUUUUAAGAAACAGGAAGGCACCCCUGAGGGGCUCUAUCUCUAGUGAACCACAGCUGCCAUCAGGAAAAUGGGAGAUUUCUCCAUCCCUGAAAGGGAUGAGGUUGGGAUAACGGAAUCCCUGUUCCCAUUGGUUUUUAUUAGCAAAACAUCCUGUGUCUUUUGGAGUACGAUGUGUAAGUGCCCAUUGGGUGGCCUUCGUCUGUCAGUCACUGUGCAGCAGUCUGCUUCUCAAUAAAGUGUGCUCUUUCAGGAAAAAAAAAAAAAAA
Molecule: RNA transcript, 4147 nt
Organism: Sapajus apella (tufted capuchin)
Lineage: Eukaryota; Metazoa; Chordata; Mammalia; Primates; Cebidae
Gene name: 26S proteasome regulatory subunit 4 pseudogene
Exons: 1
Source: RefSeq, a predicted model, not a curated record